This 253-nucleotide ribosomal RNA is filed under the name uncultured bacterium. RNAcentral describes it as "partial 16S ribosomal RNA". It matches the Rfam family "Bacterial small subunit ribosomal RNA", at positions 524 to 776 of the family's 1533-position model. The record is from RNAcentral.
UACGUAGGGAGCAAGCGUUGUUCGGAUUUACUGGGCGUAAAGGGCGCGUAGGCGGCGCGGUAAGUCACUUGUGAAAUCUCUGAGCUUAACUCAGAACGGCCAAGUGAUACUGCAGUGCUAGAGUGCAGAAGGGGCAAUCGGAAUUCUUGGUGUAGCGGUGAAAUGCGUAGAUAUUCGCAAGAACACCAGUGGCGAAGGCGGCUCACUGGCCCGAUACUGACGCUGAGGUGCGAAAGCGUGGGGAGCAAACAGG